Molecule: long non-coding RNA, 204 nt
Organism: Dendrobium catenatum
Lineage: Eukaryota; Viridiplantae; Streptophyta; Magnoliopsida; Asparagales; Orchidaceae
Exons: 2
Source: RefSeq, a predicted model, not a curated record
CAGUUUACAGGAUGAGAUGUUUCAGAAGUUCAAUUUUGAUACGGAGUGGGCUAUAAAGCUCAUAUCAAAGAUAACAGAUAACGAGGACAUACCAAUUGAGGGUCGUGCAGUUGUAAAACAGCUUUUGGACCUUCAAGUAAAUGCAGAGAGAUACUUUUUUGGAAUAAGAAAGAGCCUUGUUGAGUUUGAUGAAGUCUUGGAGGU